GUUAAAGUAGGUUAAAGUAAACCUGAGAGCUUAUUACUCUUCAAUAUAUUGUGAAGAUGUCUUUAAUA
Molecule: transfer RNA, 68 nt
Filed under: Microcosmus sulcatus
Lineage: Eukaryota; Metazoa; Chordata; Ascidiacea; Stolidobranchia; Pyuridae
Description: transfer RNA-Met (AUA)
Source: RNAcentral